AUGCGAUGUAUGCUAUAAGUGGAACUUGGAUCGUUUAGGAUAAAUUAAAAAAAGGGGCGAGUUCAGUGAAAAAUAAUGUUGCCAAUUCCAUUCGAAACUUUUAGCGUUACCGAGGAGAAUGUUAAAUGGAUCCCGGAAGAAUUGAAGCGGUAAAUGAAAUUUUUAUAAGCUUUAAAUUGGACAUUAACGACGCGUUUACCGAUAACUCGAGCAAAUCAAGUUACUCGACCGCAUUUCCGAUUUGAGUUUAAUGGCCCUACAAAUCUGACGAUGUAUUAUCCAUCUGCAUGAAACGAUCUCCAUUCGAGACCAGAGACAAUAGAUCGUUGAAAAUUCAUAAU
Molecule: unclassified non-coding RNA, 341 nt
Filed under: Bombus terrestris (buff-tailed bumblebee)
Lineage: Eukaryota; Metazoa; Arthropoda; Insecta; Hymenoptera; Apidae
Description: misc RNA ENSBTSG00005030125.1
Source: RNAcentral